AAUUCAGUUUAGGGUUUUAAAACCUUAAUGCUGACUGAAUGGAAAGAGUUCAGUUUAGGGUUUAAAACCCUAAUGCUGACUGAGUGGAAAAAGUUCAGUUUAGGGUUUAAAACCCUAAUGCUGACUGAGUGGAAAAAGUUCAGUUUAAGGUUUAAAUCCCUAAUACUGACUGAAUGGAAAAAGUUCAGUUUAGGGUUUAAAACCCUAAUGCUGACCAAAGGAAAGAGUUCAGUUUAGGGUUUAAAACCCUAAUGCUGACUAAAUGGAAAAGUUCAGUUUAGGGUUUAAAACCCUAAUACUGACUAAAGGAAAGAGUUCAGUUUUGGGGUUUAACACCCUAAUGCUGACUGAAUGGAAAAAGUUCAGUUUAGGGUUUAAAACCCUAAAGCUGACUAAAUGGAAAAAGUUCAGUUUAGGGUUUAAAACCAAAAUGCUGACUAAAUGAAAAGA
RNAcentral lists this long non-coding RNA (450 nucleotides) under Nicotiana tabacum (common tobacco). RNAcentral describes it as "long non-coding RNA (NTAB_LNC010165)". Lineage: Eukaryota; Viridiplantae; Streptophyta; Magnoliopsida; Solanales; Solanaceae. The record is from RNAcentral.